GGGUCCGUAGUCUAACGGUUAGGACGCCACUCUUACAAAGUGGAGAUCGCAGUUCAAUUCUGCGCGGACCCA
This is a transfer RNA of 72 nucleotides. It matches the Rfam family "tRNA". Rfam says of the family: Transfer RNA (tRNA) molecules are approximately 80 nucleotides in length. Their secondary structure includes four short double-helical elements and three loops (D, anti-codon, and T loops). Further hydrogen bonds mediate the characteristic L-shaped molecular structure. tRNAs have two regions of fundamental functional importance: the anti-codon, which is responsible for specific mRNA codon recognition, and the 3' end, to which the tRNAs corresponding amino acid is attached (by aminoacyl-tRNA synthetases). tRNAs cope with the degeneracy of the genetic code in two manners: having more than one tRNA (with a specific anti-codon) for a particular amino acid; and 'wobble' base-pairing, i.e. permitting non-standard base-pairing at the 3rd anti-codon position.